UACGUAGGGGGCAAGCGUUGUCCGGAAUUAUUGGGCGUAAAGAGCGCGUAGGCGGUCCGAUAAGUCGGCUGUGAAAGUCAGGGGCUCAACCCUUGAAAGCCGGCCGAUACUGUCGGACUAGAGUCCGGAAGAGGCGAGUGGAAUUCCCGGUGUAGCGGUGAAAUGCGCAGAUAUCGGGAGGAACACCCGUGGCGAAGGCGGCCAACUGGGCCGAGCCCUGACGGCUGAGGCGCCGAAGGCGUGGGGAGCGAACGGG
RNAcentral lists this ribosomal RNA (256 nucleotides) under uncultured bacterium. RNAcentral's name for it is "partial 16S ribosomal RNA". It matches the Rfam family "Bacterial small subunit ribosomal RNA", at positions 524 to 776 of the family's 1533-position model. The record is from RNAcentral.